This 253-nucleotide ribosomal RNA is filed under the name uncultured bacterium. RNAcentral's name for it is "partial 16S ribosomal RNA". It matches the Rfam family "Bacterial small subunit ribosomal RNA", at positions 524 to 776 of the family's 1533-position model. The record is from RNAcentral.
UACGGAGGGUGCAAGCGUUAUCCGGAUUCACUGGGCUUAAAGGGUGCGUAGGCGGGCAGGUAAGUCCGUGGUGAAAUCUCUGAGCUUAACUCAGAAACUGCCAUGGAUACUAUUUGUCUUGAAUAUUGUGGAGGUAAGCGGAAUAUGUCAUGUAGCGGUGAAAUGCUUAGAUAUGACAUAGAACACCAAUUGCGAAGGCAGCUUACCGCACAGUUAUUGACGCUGAGGCACGAAAGCGUGGGGAUCAAACAGG